UUAAAGUAGUAAGGGCGCAGGGUGGAUGCCUUGGCACUAAGAGCCGAUGAAAGACGUGAUAAGCUGCGAAAAGCUUCGGGGAGGAGCACAUAUCCAAUGAUCCGGAGAUAUCUGAAUGGGGAAACCCGGCAGAGGAAACCUCUGUCAGCGUGCAGUGAAUACAUAGCUGUACGUGGGGAACCCGGGGAACUGAAACAUCUAAGUACCCGGAGGAAGAGAAAGAAAAUUUAUCGAUUUCCAAAGUAGCGGCGAGCGAAAUGGAAAGAGCCCAAACCGUGAUGCGUGCAUCGCGGGGUUCGGACUGCGUUGUGGCAGACGUAAGAUAGGAGAACGGACUGGGAAGUCCGGCCGGAGAGAGUGAAAGCCUCGUAUCCGAAAUCCCAAGUCGCCUAGCAGGAUCCAGAGUAGGACGAGACACGAGAAACCUUGUCUGAACGAGCGGGGACCACCCCGUAAGGCUAAAUACUUCUUAGUGACCGAUAGCGCAUAGUACUGUGAAGGAAAGGUGAAAAGUACCCCGGGAGGGGAGUGAAAGAGAACCUGAAACCCUGUGUCUACAAGCUGUGGGACCUCUUUAUAUGAGGGACUGCGUACUUUUUGUAGAACGGUCCGGCGAGUUGUGCGUACUGGCGAGGUUAAGGACUUAAGGUCUGGAGCCGAAGUGAAAGCAAGCGUUAAUAGCGCGUCAAGUCAGUGAGUGCAGACCCGAAACCGGGUGACCUAUCCAUGUCCAGGUUGAAGCUUCCGUAAGAGGAAGUGGAGGACCGAACCCACAUCCGUUGAAAAGGGUGGGGAUGAGGUGUGGAUAGCGGAGAAAUUCCAAUCGAACCCGGAGAUAGCUGGUUCUCCUCGAAAUAGCUUUAGGGCUAGCCUCAUGAGAGUCUUAUGGAGGUAGAGCACUGAAUUGCCUAGGGGGCGUCAAAGCUUACCAAAGCAUAUCAAACUCCGAAUGCCAUCAAGAUGAUUCAUGGGAGUCAGACCAUACGAGAUAAGUUGGAUGGUCAAAAGGGAAAGAGCCCAGACCUACAGCUAAGGUCCCAAAGUGCGUGUUAAGUGGAAAAGGAUGUGGGGAUUCUAAGACAACUAGGACGUUGGCUUAGAAGCAGCCAUUCAUUGAAAGAGUGCGUAAUAGCUCACUAGUCGAGAGUCCCUGCGCCGAAAAUGUCCGGGGCUGAAACACGACACCGAAGCUUAGGAAUGUGUAAACAUUGGUAGAGGAGCAUUGCUAGCGGGAUGAAGCCAUACCGUAAGGAGUGGUGGACUGCUAGGAAGAGAGAAUGCCGGAAUGAGUAGCGAGAUGAAGGUGAGAAUCCUUCAGGCCGAAUAUCUAAGGUUUCCAGAGUAAAGCUGAUCUGCUCUGGGUAAGUCGGGACCUAAGGCGAGGUCGAAAGACGUAGUCGAUGGAUAACAGGUUGAAAUUCCUGUACCGCAUAUAAACAGAACUGUGGGGACACAGACAGGGAAUGGAAUCCGGGAGUGGAGAUCCCGGUGCAAGCGAGGUAGGAGUGCUGCUGGCAAAUCCGCAGCACGAUCUGAAGACGUGACGCGUACCGAACAUAAGUAGGGAAGUCCAGGCCCCUGGCUGUCAAGAAAAGCCGCUAUUGUUUUAUAUGUGCCCGUACCGCAAACCGACACAGGUGGAUGAGGAGAGAAUCCUAAGGCCGACGGGAGAAGUAUUGUUAAGGAACUCGGCAAAAUGACUCCGUAACUUCGGGAGAAGGAGUGCCAUGAGAGUGGCCGCAGAGAAAUGGCCCAAGCAACUGUUUAGCAAAAACACAGGUCUAUGCAAAACCGCAAGGUGAAGUAUAUGGGCUGACGCCUGCCCGGUGCUGGAAGGUUAAGGGGAGAGGUUAGCGCAAGCGAAGCUUUGAACUUAAGCCCCAGUAAACGGCGGCCGUAACUAUAACGGUCCUAAGGUAGCGAAAUUCCUUGUCGGGUAAGUUC
Molecule: ribosomal RNA, 1944 nt
Filed under: human gut metagenome
Description: bacterial LSU rRNA
Rfam family: Bacterial large subunit ribosomal RNA
Source: RNAcentral